This 45-nucleotide transfer RNA is filed under the name Cyrtodactylus intermedius. RNAcentral describes it as "tRNA-Trp". Lineage: Eukaryota; Metazoa; Chordata; Lepidosauria; Squamata; Gekkonidae. The record is from RNAcentral.
GGGUUUAGGUUAAACAAACCAGGGGCCUUCAAAGCCCCAAACAGG